ACCCGAUAUGCCCCGGGGUGAAAAGUUUUUCGCCUAGAGAUGAGCUCGCGUCCGAUUAGCUAGUAGGUAGUGUAAUGGACUACCUAGGCGAUGAUCGGUAGCUGGUUUGAGAGGACAAUCAGCCACACUGGGACUGAGACACGGCCCAGACUCCUACGGGAGGCAGCAGUGGGGAAUUUUCCGCAAUGGGCGCAAGCCUGACGGAGCAAUACCGCGUGGGGGAGGAAGGCUCUUGGAUUGUAAACCCCUUUUCUCAGGGAAGAAGCUCUGACGGUACCUGAGGAAUCAGCAUCGGCUAACUCCGUGCCAGCAGCCGCGGUAAUACGGAGGAUGCAAGCGUUAUCCGGAAUUAUUGGGCGUAAAGCGUCCGCAGGCGGCUAGAUAAGUCUGCUUUCAAAGAGUGGGGCUCAACCCCAUAGGGGGAGUGGAAACUGUUUAGCUAGAGUAUGGUAGGGGCAGAGGGAAUUCCCAGUGUAGCGGUGAAAUGCGUAGAUAUUGGGAAGAACACCAGUGGCGAAGGCGCUCUGCUGGACCGAGACUGACGCUGAGGGACGAAAGCUAGGGGAGCGAAAGGGAUUAGAUACCCCUGUAGUCCUAGCUGUAAACGAUGGACACUAGGUGUUGCGCGUAUCGACCCGUGCAGUGCCGUAGCUAACGCGUUAAGUGUCCCGCCUGGGGAGUACGCACGCAAGUGUGAAACUCAAAGGAAUUGACGGGGGCCCGCACAAGCGGUGGAGUAUGUGGUUUAAUUCGAUGCAACGCGAAGAACCUUACCAGGGUUUGACAUCCCUCGAAUCUCGGCGAAAGUUGAGAGUGCCUUCGGGAGCGAGGAGACAGGUGGUGCAUGGCUGUCGUCAGCUCGUGUCGUGAGAUGUUGGGUUAAGUCCCGCAACGAGCGCAACCCACGUUUCCAGUUGCCAGCAUUAAGUUGGGGACUCUGGAGAGACUGCCGGUGACAAACCGGAGGAAGGUGUGGACGACGUCAAGUCAUCAUGCCCCUUACAUCCUGGGCUACACACGUACUACAAUGGUUAGGACAAAGGGCAGAGAAGCCGCGAGGUGGAGCAAAACUCAUAAACCUAGCCUCAGUUCAGAUUGCAGGCUGCAACUCGCCUGCA
RNAcentral lists this ribosomal RNA (1118 nucleotides) under Anagnostidinema amphibium I013-0016. Its description in RNAcentral is "bacterial SSU rRNA". It matches the Rfam family "Bacterial small subunit ribosomal RNA", at positions 168 to 1320 of the family's 1533-position model. Lineage: Bacteria; Bacillati; Cyanobacteriota; Cyanophyceae; Coleofasciculales; Wilmottiaceae. The record is from RNAcentral.